GGGUUGUGAGGUUAAGCGACUAAGCGUACACGGUGGAUGCCCUGGCAGUCAGAGGCGAUGAAGGGCGUGCUAAUCUGCGAUAAGCGCCGGUAAGGUGAUAUGAACCGUUAUAACCGGCGAUACCCGAAUGGGGAAACCCAGUGUGACUCGUCACACUAUCAUUAACUGAAUCCAUAGGUUAAUGAGGCGAACCGGGGGAACUGAAACAUCUAAGUACCCCGAGGAAAAGAAAUCAACCGAGAUUCCCCCAGUAGCGGCGAGCGAACGGGGAGGAGCCCAGAGCCUGAAUCAGCAUGUGUGUUAGUGGAAGCGUCUGGAAAGGCGCGCGAUACAGGGUGACAGCCCCGUACACAAAAGCGCAUGUGCUGUGAGCUCGAUGAGUAGGGCGGGACACGUGGUAUCCUGUCUGAAUAUGGGGGGACCAUCCUCCAAGGCUAAAUACUCCUGACUGACCGAUAGUGAACCAGUACCGUGAGGGAAAGGCGAAAAGAACCCCGGCGAGGGGAGUGAAAAAGAACCUGAAACCGUGUACGUACAAGCAGUGGGAGCCCCACCACUAAGCCAGUGGUGAACUCCACAUACGCAUCCUUUGCUGAGGAUACGGUUAACGGAGCGAAAGCGACGUUCAACCGCAAAAGAAGCAGAGGGGGCUUAGUGGUGGGGUGACUGCGUACCUUUUGUAUAAUGGGUCAGCGACUUAUAUUCUGUAGCAAGGUUAACCGCAUAGGGGAGCCGGAGGGAAACCGAGUCUUAACCGGGCGUUAAGUUGCAGGGUAUAGACCCGAAACCCGGUGAUCUAGCCAUGGGCAGGUUGAAGGUUGGGUAACACUAACUGGAGGACCGAACCGACUAAUGUUGAAAAAUUAGCGGAUGACCUGUGGCUGGGGGUGAAAGGCCAAUCAAACCGGGAGAUAGCUGGUUCUCCCCGAAAGCUAUUUAGGUAGCGCCUCGUGAACUCAUCUCCGGGGGUAGAGCACUGUUUCGGCUAGGGGGCCAUCCCGGCUUACCAACCCGAUGCAAACUGCGAAUACCGGAGAAUGUUAUCACGGGAGACACACGGCGGGUGCUAACGUCCGUCGUGAAGAGGGAAACAACCCAGACCGCCAGCUAAGGUCCCAAAGUCAUGGUUAAGUGGGAAACGAUGUGGGAAGGCCCAGACAGCCAGGAUGUUGGCUUAGAAGCAGCCAUCAUUUAAAGAAAGCGUAAUAGCUCACUGGUCGAGUCGGCCUGCGCGGAAGAUGUAACGGGGCUAAACCAUGCACCGAAGCUGCGGCAGCGAACGUAUCACUUAAAGUGAUUCAGCGGGUUACGAUUGACGGAGCGAAGCGACGUCAAAGUGUAUACAAAGUCGAGUCGGUUUAAGGAUACGUUCGUUGGGUAGGGGAGCGUUCUGUAAGCCUGUGAAGGUGGCCUGUGAGGGUUGCUGGAGGUAUCAGAAGUGCGAAUGCUGACAUAAGUAACGAUAAAGCGGGUGAAAAGCCCGCUCGCCGGAAGACCAAGGGUUCCUGUCCAACGUUAAUCGGGGCAGGGUGAGUCGACCCCUAAGGCGAGGCCGAAAGGCGUAGUCGAUGGGAAACGGGUUAAUAUUCCCGUACUUGGUGUUACUGCGAAGGGGGGACGGAGAAGGCUAUGUUGGCCGGGCGACGGUUGUCCCGGUUUAAGCGUGUAGGUGUGUGUUCCAGGUAAAUCCGGUUCACUUUAACACUGAGGCGUGAUGACGAGGCACUACGGUGCUGAAGCAACAAAUGCCCUGCUUCCAGGAAAAGCCUCUAAGCAUCAGGUAACAUCAAAUCGUACCCCAAACCGACACAGGUGGUCAGGUAGAGAAUACCAAGGCGCUUGAGAGAACUCGGGUGAAGGAACUAGGCAAAAUGGUGCCGUAACUUCGGGAGAAGGCACGCUGACAUGUAGGUGAAGUGAUUUACUCAUGGAGCUGAAGUCAGUCGAAGAUACCAGCUGGCUGCAACUGUUUAUUAAAAACACAGCACUGUGCAAACACGAAAGUGGACGUAUACGGUGUGACGCCUGCCCGGUGCCGGAAGGUUAAUUGAUGGGGUCAGCGCAAGCGAAGCUCCUGAUCGAAGCCCCGGUAAACGGCGGCCGUAACUAUAACGGUCCUAAGGUAGCGAAAUUCCUUGUCGGGUAAGUUCCGACCUGCACGAAUGGCGUAAUGAUGGCCAGGCUGUCUCCACCCGAGACUCAGUGAAAUUGAACUCGCUGUGAAGAUGCAGUGUACCCGCGGCAAGACGGAAAGACCCCGUGAACCUUUACUAUAGCUUGACACUGAACAUUGAGCCUUGAUGUGUAGGAUAGGUGGGAGGCUUUGAAGUGUGGACGCCAGUCUGCAUGGAGCCGACCUUGAAAUACCACCCUUUAAUGUUUGAUGUUCUAACGUGGACCCGUGAUCCGGGUUGCGGACAGUGUCUGGUGGGUAGUUUGACUGGGGCGGUCUCCUCCUAAAGAGUAACGGAGGAGCACGAAGGUUGGCUAAUCCUGGUCGGACAUCAGGAGGUUAGUGCAAUGGCAUAAGCCAGCUUGACUGCGAGCGUGACGGCGCGAGCAGGUGCGAAAGCAGGUCAUAGUGAUCCGGUGGUUCUGAAUGGAAGGGCCAUCGCUCAACGGAUAAAAGGUACUCCGGGGAUAACAGGCUGAUACCGCCCAAGAGUUCAUAUCGACGGCGGUGUUUGGCACCUCGAUGUCGGCUCAUCACAUCCUGGGGCUGAAGUAGGUCCCAAGGGUAUGGCUGUUCGCCAUUUAAAGUGGUACGCGAGCUGGGUUUAGAACGUCGUGAGACAGUUCGGUCCCUAUCUGCCGUGGGCGCUGGAGAACUGAGGGGGGCUGCUCCUAGUACGAGAGGACCGGAGUGGACGCAUCACUGGUGUUCGGGUUGUCAUGCCAAUGGCACUGCCCGGUAGCUAAAUGCGGAAGAGAUAAGUGCUGAAAGCAUCUAAGCACGAAACUUGCCCCGAGAUGAGUUCUCCCUGAGACUUAGAGUCUCCUGAAGGAACGUUGAAGACGACGACGUUGAUAGGCCGGGUGUGUAAGCGCAGCGAUGCGUUGAGCUAACCGGUACUAAUGAACCGUGAGGCUUAACCUUACAACGCCGAAG
RNAcentral lists this ribosomal RNA (3109 nucleotides) under Salmonella enterica subsp. enterica serovar Hillingdon str. N1529-D3. Its description in RNAcentral is "bacterial LSU rRNA". It matches the Rfam family "Bacterial large subunit ribosomal RNA". Lineage: Bacteria; Pseudomonadati; Pseudomonadota; Gammaproteobacteria; Enterobacterales; Enterobacteriaceae. The record is from RNAcentral.